GACGAACGCUGGCGGCGUGCUUAACACAUGCAAGUCGAACGGAAAGGCCCUGCUUUUGUGGGGUGCUCGAGUGGCGAACGGGUGAGUAACACGUGAGUAACCUGCCCUUGACUUUGGGAUAACUUCAGGAAACUGGGGCUAAUACCGGAUAGGAGCUCCUGCUGCAUGGUGGGGGUUGGAAAGUUUCGGCGGUGGGGGAUGGACUCGCGGCUUAUCAGCUUGUUGGUGGGGUAGUGGCUUACCAAGGCUUUGACGGGUGGCCGGCCUGAGAGGGUGACCGGCCACAUUGGGACUGAGGUACGGCCCAGACUCCUACGGGAGGCAGCAGUGGGGAAUAUUGCACAAUGGGCGGAAGCCUGAUGCAGCAACGCCGCGUGCGGGAUGACGGCCUUCGGGUUGUAAACCGCUUUCGCCUGUGACGAAGCGUGAGUGACGGUAAUGGGUAAAGAAGCACCGGCUAACUACGUG
Molecule: ribosomal RNA, 468 nt
Filed under: uncultured bacterium
Lineage: Bacteria
Description: partial 16S ribosomal RNA
Rfam family: Bacterial small subunit ribosomal RNA
Source: RNAcentral